Non-coding RNA from Pelobates cultripes (western spadefoot toad), 206 nucleotides. Lineage: Eukaryota; Metazoa; Chordata; Amphibia; Anura; Pelobatidae. The record is from the annotation of a GenBank genome assembly.
GACGCAGCAGGUCAUGCAGGCUUCACAGCGAUUUUCGAAGACAGAUGGUUUAGGGACGUAUGGCCAAACAAAGCACUAGAGUUACCAGCAUUUACAAAAACUUUGGCACUAUUUGAGAUCUACCCCAUAGUGGCAGCAGCGAAAGUGUGGGGCCACUUAUGGGCAGGGAAGGCAGUCAAAUGCUAAACUGACAACAUGGCGGCUUG